This 75-nucleotide microRNA precursor is filed under the name Pterocles gutturalis (yellow-throated sandgrouse). RNAcentral's name for it is "mir-122 microRNA precursor family". It matches the Rfam family "mir-122 microRNA precursor family". From Rfam's summary of the family: In mammals, miR-122 is enriched in liver cells where it has been implicated as a regulator of fatty-acid metabolism in mouse studies. The hairpin precursors (represented here) are predicted based on base pairing and cross-species conservation -- their extents are not known. The record is from Rfam by way of RNAcentral. Lineage: Eukaryota; Metazoa; Chordata; Aves; Pterocliformes; Pteroclidae.
CCGAGCUGUGGAGUGUGACAAUGGUGUUUGUGUCUUAAGGCUAUCAAACGCCAUUAUCACACUAAAUAGCUACUG